AUUUUGUUUUGUGAUACUCACGUGCAAGAAUGUUGUCAAGAUAUUGUUCGUGAGCUAAUGUAGUAACGAAAAUCAAUCGAAAAUCGAAAGCAAAAUGAUGCAGCACUUACCGCUUGCGAAGCCUGUAAACUGCUCCACUUACAGUCCAUAAGCUGUACCGAGCUGAUAUUCUGGUGUAACAAGAGCAAUUAAUGGCCAUAAACUACUUGCAAGCAUGGAAUAUGCUAAUCCCAUGAGAAUCAUACACACAUCUAUCAACAAGAUAUCCUAAAAUGGGGGAUGCAACAGCCGAUAUAGAAUAUACAAGGGAAUUAACUGUGUUUGCAUUUGAUGGCUGGAAUGCAUAUUUCCGUUCAAAGAAUACUCUAAGGAAAUAAGAUUAUAUAAUACAUGUAAAUAUGUAUAAUAUGAUUAUGAAACUUUCCUACUAUUCAUACUUACUUUCCUAAGGUGAUGAAUGGGAAUAUUGCGACAUAAUAAGCAAUACAGAUGAAAGCUAUUAACCAGAAUAUAGGCUUAAAGUCUUUGACAUCUGUUAGACUAACAACCUCGGUUUCUUGCCCUUCUCCUCUUCUUAAUAAUCUUGCCGCACGUUUAUCCAUGAUACCCAGUACACAUCCGCAAAUCAAAGAUCCCACACAAGUUAAAGAAGAUAGGAAAAGAAUAAUUCCAAUACAUUCAGGUCCUUUAUAAUACUGAGACACAAAUUGAUAGAUUGGUUCCAUGACCAAGAAAUUCACUGUUGAACCAAGUCUUGCAAAACUCAGUUGCAAGCCAAAUACCAUAUUGAGCUCUUUUCCUUUGAACCACAGUACAGCAUAAUUAUUUUGAGCAACUGCUAAUGAUUCUGAACCAAUACUGUAACAGGUAUUAAAGUUAAUUCCAAUAAUCUAUCAUAAGGAAUACACUACAUUAAAAAAACAUACCCAAAAACAAAUCGACCAAGCAUCAUAAGCCAAAAUGCAUUAAUUAUAGCUCCUGUUGCAAAUAUAAGUUGACCAAUUAAAGCAAGUCCCAUGUAUAUUAUUGUUCCUGCUCUAAUACCAAACACGCUGUCCAAUAAAAAUCCUCCAAUGAAACAAAGAAUCAUAUUUGGCCAUGAAUAAAUAGAAUACAAUAGCACAAAUCUGCUAGUUGACAUGCUUAGAUCAGAUUUCAUAUUGUCUUGUAAUGCGCUAGGAUUGUCAAAACAAAAGAAGGAACCUGAAAAAAUAUUAGAUUACAUUAACUGAUUUAAAAAAUAAAAGUGCACCCAUCAGCAAAUUACCCUAAGUAGAGUCAGUGACUUGAUUAUUUCAAUCAUGUUUGAAUUUUUGACAAAAUAAGUUUUAUAAUUCGAAUAAUUGAGCGUAGCGAACAUGUAUCCUGUAUUCUUUCGAAAUAAGCUUUAACAAUGCUUCGAUAUCGAAAUGUUACAAAAAACGACGAAAAAUAAAAUUUCGCGGGUGAAACAGUACUGACGCUCUGAUAUGUCUUAUCUCUGCCGCAUGUGCAGCACGAAAAGAACAUUAUACCCAACCUACAAAGACCGUAAGAAUAUCGCUGAAAUAUCACUAAAAUUGAUACUUCUGUGUUUGUGUCUUAUAAUUCUUCGUGCAUCCGUGAAAA
Molecule: long non-coding RNA, 1608 nt
Organism: Nomia melanderi (Alkali bee)
Lineage: Eukaryota; Metazoa; Arthropoda; Insecta; Hymenoptera; Halictidae
Source: RefSeq, a predicted model, not a curated record